Molecule: ribosomal RNA, 511 nt
Filed under: uncultured bacterium
Lineage: Bacteria
Description: bacterial SSU rRNA
Rfam family: Bacterial small subunit ribosomal RNA
Source: RNAcentral
AAAACACGGAUGAACGCUAGCGACAGGCUUAACACAUGCAAGUCGAGGGGCAGCACGGGAGUAGCAAUACAACUGGUGGCGACCGGCGCACGGGUGAGUAACGCGUAUGCAACCUACCUAUCAGAGGGGAAUAACCCGGCGAAAGUCGGACUAAUACCGCAUAAAACAGGGGCACCGCAUGGUGAUAUUUGUUAAAGAAAUUCGCUGAUAGAUGGGCAUGCGUUCCAUUAGGUAGUUGGUGAGGUAACGGCUCACCAAGCCGACGAUGGAUAGGGGAACUGAGAGGUUGGUCCCCCACACUGGUACUGAGACACGGACCAGACUCCUACGGGAGGCAGCAGUGAGGAAUAUUGGUCAAUGGGCGGGAGCCUGAACCAGCCAAGUCGCGUGAAGGAAGAAGGAUCUAUGGUUCGUAAACUUCUUUUGCAGGGGAAUAAAGUGCGGGACGUGUCCUGUUUUGUAUGUACCCUGAGAAUAAGGAUCGGCUAACUCCGUGCCAGCCGCCGCCGUA